This 393-nucleotide ribosomal RNA is filed under the name uncultured bacterium. RNAcentral describes it as "partial 16S ribosomal RNA". It matches the Rfam family "Bacterial small subunit ribosomal RNA", at positions 523 to 918 of the family's 1533-position model. The record is from RNAcentral.
AUACGGAGGAUCCGAGCGUUAUCCGGAUUUAUUGGGUUUAAAGGGAGCGUAGGUGGAUUGUUAAGUCAGUUGUGAAAGUUUGCGGCUAAACCGUAAAAUUGCAGUUGAAACUGGCAGUCUUGAGUACAGUAGAGGUGGGCGGAAUUCGAGGUGUAGCGGUGAAAUGCUUAGAUAUAACGAAGAACUCCGAUUGCGAAGGCAGCUCACUAGACGGUUACUGACACUGAUGCUCGAAAGUGUGGGUAUCAAUCAGGAUUAGAUACCCUGUUAGUCCACACAGUAAACGAUGAAUACUCGCUGUUUGCGAUACACGGUAAGCGGCCAAGCGAAAGCGUUAAGUAUUCCACCUGGGGAGUACGCCGGCAACGGUGAAACUCAAAGGAAUUGACGGGG